This is a long non-coding RNA of Portunus trituberculatus (swimming crab), 672 nucleotides long. RefSeq lists it as uncharacterized. NCBI's taxonomy places the organism in Eukaryota, Metazoa, Arthropoda, Malacostraca, Decapoda, Portunidae. The record is from RefSeq and is a predicted model, not a curated record. The transcript is spliced from 2 exons.
AGUCUAACACGGGCGCUGGUAGAGACAACACACUUACUCUCACUCUCUCCCUCGCUCACUCACUCACUACUCCCUCUACUACUAAACACGCGAAUACUUACAAGAUCAUUUAAGUGACAGAUCACGUGACUCUGGCUUGAGAAAUUAAAGAAAAAAUAAAUUAAUUAAAAAAAUGAAAAAAUAUUAAUCUGAACAACAUUUAACCAAUCAAAAUAAAUAAAAAAAAAUAUCAAGAGCCAAUGAGAAGCGAGUAUUUCCGUGACGUCAUCGGUGUCCAGCCAAUCAGGAUCGCCGCUCGCUGUGACGUCACCAAUGUAAACAAAGGCAAGGAAAACGUGAUUUGAAGGAGAAAAUGAAUGAAUUUGUGAGAAAACGGUGAAUUUUUAUGAUAAACUUCGAUAAAAAAUGAAACUGAGCGAAUAAAUGUGGUAAUAAUGGUAAUUUUGAGCGAAACGUAAAGAAAACACGUGAAAUAAUAAGAAAAUACGGUAUUUAAUAGAGAAAAAGGCUUAAAUACAAAGAAAACGGUGAAUUUUUAUGACAAACUUCGAAAAAAAUGAGACUGAGCGAAUAAAUGUGGUAAUAAUAGUAAUAUUAAGCGAAACGUAAAGAAAACACGUGAAGUAAUAAGAAAAAAUAAGAUCAAGAUUAAGAUUAGGAUUAAAAUUACGA